Molecule: ribosomal RNA, 546 nt
Filed under: uncultured Thermoplasmatales archaeon
Lineage: Archaea; Methanobacteriati; Thermoplasmatota; Thermoplasmata; Thermoplasmatales
Description: bacterial SSU rRNA
Rfam family: Archaeal small subunit ribosomal RNA
Source: RNAcentral
CAGCAGGCGCGAAAACUGCACAAUGUGGGAAACCACGAUGCGGGAACACCAAGUGCCAGCACAUAGUGUUGGCUGUUUGCGAGCCUAAAAAGCUCGGAGAGUAAGGGCUGGGUAAGACGGGUGCCAGCCAGCCGCAGGUAAUACCUGCAGCCCAAGUGGUGCCGUUAUUAUUGGGCCCUAAAGCGUCCGUAGCCGGUUUCGUAGAUGCCUUUGUAAAUCGAACGGCUCAACCGUUCGACUUGAGGGUAGACCGCGAGACUCGGGAUCGGGAGAGGUGCGAGGUACUCGGGGGGUAGAGGUGAAAUUCUGUAAUCCUCCGGGGACCACCGGUGGCGAAGGCGUCGCACUUGAACGACUCCGACGGUGAGGGACGAAGCCCUGGGGCGCAAACCGGAUUAGAUACCCGGGUAGUCCAGGGUGUAAACGCUGUGGGCUUGGUGUCGGGAGUCCUACGGGGGCACCCGGUGCCGGAGAGAAGUUGUUAAGCCCACCGCCUGGGGAGUACGGCCGCAAGGUUGAAACUUAAAGGAAUUGGCGGGGGAGCAC